This is a long non-coding RNA of Jaculus jaculus (lesser Egyptian jerboa), 443 nucleotides long. RefSeq lists it as uncharacterized. Lineage: Eukaryota; Metazoa; Chordata; Mammalia; Rodentia; Dipodidae. The transcript is spliced from 3 exons. The record is from RefSeq and is a predicted model, not a curated record.
CCGCAGCCCGCGCGCUCCUGGCUCUCGCUGCUGAGCUGACCCGGACGGGGGACGCUCACCUUUCUGCUUGUGAAACUUCCUCCUGAAACUCUGAGCCAAGAGAAACCUUUCCUUCCGUGCGUGAGCUGCUUCUGGGCAGAGUUUCACGAGAUUGAAAAUGAACGAACAUCUGGAAAGAGCUUAGAACACCUGGCAUAGAGGGGGGACGGAGAUGUUAACUGUCACAUUUCAUUUAAGUUCUCUGCAAUUCUUCAGCUGACCUAAAGGACAGGUAUUCUUACCUCGGGGGCAGAAGUCAGACUCAGGUAUAUGUGCUGCCGAAGUGAACACUCGGGUCCUUUCUUUAGUUUAAGAAUGAGGACUCAACUUUGUUCCCCAGUAUUGCAUUAAGAAAAUAAGCAGUUAAGGCAUUUGCCUGUGAAGCCUAAGGACUCAUGUUUGAC